AAUUCGAAGCAACGCGAAGAACCUUACCAGGCCUUGACAUCCCCUGACAACCCGAGAGAUCGGGCGUUCCCCUUCGGGGGACAGGGUGACAGGUGGUGCAUGGUUGUCGUCAGCUCGUGUCGUGAGAUGUUGGGUUAAGUCCCGCAACGAGCGCAACCCUCGACCUUAGUUGCCAGCAUUCAGUUGGGCACUCUAAGGUGACUGCCGGCUAAAAGUCGGAGGAAGGUGGGGAUGACGUCAAAUCAUCAUGCCCCUUAUGACCUGGGCUACACACGUGCUACAAUGGUUGGUACAACGAGUUGCGAGUCGGUGACGGCGAGCUAAUCUCUUAAAGCCAAUCUCAGUUCGGAUUGUAGGCUGCAACUCGCCUACAUGAAGUCGGAAUCGCUAGUAAUCGCGGAUCAGCACGCCGCGGUGAAUACGUUCCCGGGCCUU
RNAcentral lists this ribosomal RNA (435 nucleotides) under uncultured Anoxybacillus sp. RNAcentral describes it as "bacterial SSU rRNA". It matches the Rfam family "Bacterial small subunit ribosomal RNA", at positions 948 to 1382 of the family's 1533-position model. Lineage: Bacteria; Bacillati; Bacillota; Bacilli; Caryophanales; Anoxybacillaceae. The record is from RNAcentral.